GAUGAACGCUGGCGGCGUGCCUAAUACAUGCAAGUCGAGCGAACGGACGAGAAGCUUGCUUCUCUGAUGUUAGCGGCGGACGGGUGAGUAACACGUGGAUAACCUACCUAUAAGACUGGGAUAACUUCGGGAAACCGGAGCUAAUACCGGAUAAUAUUUUGAACCGCAUGGUUCAAAAGUGAAAGACGGUCUUGCUGUCACUUAUUGAUGGAUCCGCGCUGCAUUAGCUAGUUGGUAAGGUAACGGCUUACCAAGGCAACGAUGCAUAGCCGACCUGAGAGGGUGAUCGGCCACACUGGAACUGAGACACGGUCCAGACUCCUACGGGAGGCAGCAGUAGGGAAUCUUCCGCAAAGGGCGAAAGCCUGACGGAGCAACGCCGCGUGAGUGAUGAAGUUCUUCGGAUCGUAAAACUCUGUUAUUAGGGAAGAACAUAUGUGUAAGUAACUGUGCACAUCUUGACGGUACCUAAUCAGAAAGCCACGGCUAACUACGUG
This 497-nucleotide ribosomal RNA is filed under the name uncultured bacterium. RNAcentral describes it as "partial 16S ribosomal RNA". It matches the Rfam family "Bacterial small subunit ribosomal RNA", at positions 28 to 507 of the family's 1533-position model. The record is from RNAcentral.